GGGGAUGUAGCUCAGCGGGAGAGCACCUGCUUUGCAAGCAGGGGGUCAGCGGUUCGAAUCCGCUCAUCUCCA
RNAcentral lists this transfer RNA (72 nucleotides) under Coprothermobacter proteolyticus DSM 5265. It matches the Rfam family "tRNA". Rfam says of the family: Transfer RNA (tRNA) molecules are approximately 80 nucleotides in length. Their secondary structure includes four short double-helical elements and three loops (D, anti-codon, and T loops). The record is from Rfam by way of RNAcentral. Lineage: Bacteria; Pseudomonadati; Coprothermobacterota; Coprothermobacteria; Coprothermobacterales; Coprothermobacteraceae.